This 247-nucleotide unclassified non-coding RNA is filed under the name uncultured Stagonospora. RNAcentral's name for it is "partial contains 5.8S ribosomal RNA, internal transcribed spacer 2, and large subunit ribosomal RNA". Lineage: Eukaryota; Fungi; Ascomycota; Dothideomycetes; Pleosporales; Pleosporaceae. The record is from RNAcentral.
AACGCACAUUGCGCCCCUCGGUAUUCCAUGGGGCAUGCCUGUUCGAGCGUCAUUUACACCCUCAAGCUCUGCUUGGUGUUGGGCGUCUGUCCCGCUUUAUGCGUGGACUCGCCCCAAAGUCAUUGGCAGCGGUCGUGCCAGCUUCUCGCGCAGCACAUUUGCGUUUCUUGAAGUUUGGUGGAUCAGCAUCCAGUAAGCUCUUUUAUGACUUGACCUCGGAUCAGGUAGGGAUACCCGCUGAACUUAA